GAUGAACGCUGGCGGCGUGCCUAACACAUGCAAGUCGAACGGAGUCCAGCCUUUAAGACCUUCGGGUCAAAGAGGGGAAGCCUGAGUGGCGGACGGGUGAGUAACACGUGGGCAACCUGGCUCAUAGAGGGGGAUAACAGAGAGAAAUUUCUGCUAAUACCGCAUAAGCACACACUGCCGCAUGGCAGAGGGUGAAAAGAGAAUCGCUAUGAGAUGGACCCGCGUCUGAUUAGCCAGUUGGCAGGGUAAGAGCCUACCAAAGCGACGAUCCGUAGCCGAUCUGAGAGGAUGAACGGCCACAGUGGGACUGAGACACGGCCCAAACUCCUACGGGAGGCAGCAGUGGGGGAUAUUGCACAAUGGGGGGAACCCUGAUGCAGCGACGCCGCGUGAGUGAAGAAGUAUUUCGGUAUGUAAAGCUCUAUCAGCAGGGAAGAUAAUGACAGUACCUGAAGAAGAAGCCCCGGCUAACUACGUG
Molecule: ribosomal RNA, 478 nt
Filed under: uncultured bacterium
Lineage: Bacteria
Description: partial 16S ribosomal RNA
Rfam family: Bacterial small subunit ribosomal RNA
Source: RNAcentral